AAUGCUUUCCACUGGCUGGCAAUGCAUUUUUGGGAGUUCUGCUUUUAAAUUAGCUAAUUCUCUUUCAUUGCUUGCUGUAGGCACCGUUAAGGAAGGAUACCUCAUGCUUUAUGGUUUCUUCUGAAAGAAAUGUUCGUACGGCAAUGUCAAGGACAAUGGUAUGAAGUAUCUGUGCAGCCUAGUAAAACCUAAAGCCAUGGCCAUGAUAUGGCACAUGAAGACAGAUGAAAAUUUGGAGGCAUCUCCACUGUCAUAGCCCUUGAAAAGGACACCAUCUUCCAAUCAUCUACUGGAUUAUUUUUGUUCUUACAGAUCUGCUGCUAAAGUACAGGAUAAUAUGAUUUUGAUUAAAUCACUCCUAUCCAGUGAUUCAACCCCAUGUGUAGUAUGAUGGUAAGUGCCUACUGCAGAGAGCUGCUUUGUGAAUUAAUUCCAGCAGUCUGCUUCACUAACCAAACAGGGGGUGACAUGGGGUUGCCAAUGUAGACUGUGACAGUCAAUGAUGGCACUGAUUUUUUCAUAUCUGGAGGACUGAUGACGAUUUACUGGGUGAAAGGUGUAUAGCAAGAGGAAAGUUAGAGAUUUCCUUGUCAAGCAUCCCUUCUGUCAAGAGGAAUUUCAUCUUAGACGUGAUGAUAACCACCAUUUCCUAACUGAAGAGUUAGAUUCCAUAAACCAGAUAUUCCUUGUGUGACUUUGUCUCUUUUCAAGCCAGUAUAUGUCUGUGUGCAAUCGGAGAUGCGUUUGCACAAAACAUGCAACCAUAUGAGUGUAAACCAGUCCAGCCUCAGGAAUUCUUUGCCUGCUUCACUGCAAAUUAACACAUUGGGAUUCAGGUAUUCUGAAAAUAAUCUACAACCACAGUGGUGCAAAUACUGCUGUGGUAACCUUGGUUGUUUCUCUGCCCAAAUGCAGCCACAGUCCCCUAAAGGGUGUUUCUGUCCCUCUUGCCACUUGUCAUUUACUGCUUUUUUGAACAGCAACAACAAAAAUUAGGUACAGGGUCUGUGUUUUGAAAAAAUAAUAUGAAAAAGAUUACCUAUAGUUAUCCAAAGGCAAUUCAAUAAUUUUAGUGGUGACUCACAUCUAAGUUAUUUGAUUUUCUUGGAACUGAUAUUAAUGUUCUGCUGAGUUCUCUUGAGAGCCUUUUCCUACAAGCUAACACGCUUCCUUUCAAUAUUUGUUUUUUAUAAAAAGCUUGUACCUACAUAAUUUAGGAUCACACUGAUUGCUCUUGUGGUGGGACUGAAAACUGAUUGGAAAAUACAUUAUAUGCUAUAUUAUAUUACAUAUGACAUUGUCAACACUAAGUCUCCAACCAAGAAAACAAGAUGGACAAUGUACCCUCCUUUGGUAUGCAGCUUCUAAUUUGUCUCAGCUGUUUCUCCUGAAUAUCAAAAUAUUAUUUUUUGGACUGUUUCUUGCAAAUAGAAUGAAGGUGAAACUACUUGUACUUUCCUAUGCUUUCACUGAAUUUUAACCAAAUACAGAACCAUAAUUUUCAAGUGCCCCUCCUUGAGUUUUCUUCCAAUUCUAAAUCAUUGUUUAAUGGGUCUGUGAAUGUACAUACUCAACCUUCUUACUGAAUAUUUGCUUGGCUUUGUCAAUAGUGCAGACAUGAUGCAGGUUCUUAAAAUUUAAUUAUGUUUGCAUGCUUUAUUUGAAGUAUUUUCUUGUACCUGUCUUUUCAAAGAAGCAGAAGAUAAAAAAAUAUGAAACAAGAGGGCUCAAAGAAUGCACUAAUUCACAUUUUCUUUCUUUCUGCAUUUCUGUUUUCUCUCAGUGUCUUUUUGUGUAAAUCUCUACUUUUCAAUUGUAGUGCUGUUAGUAAGAAGCAUCAGAAGAAAGAUUUCCUCCCAGUUCCUCCCAGGAAUAAAAAGGUCUUGGUGGAUCAACAUAUGUCGGGUGUCUGAUGACUAGGACAGUCAAACUCUCAUGCUCUGAAAGAGGUACAAAUUAAGAAAUGGAGAAUGAUGGAAUCAACUUGUGAUGGAUCAGAAUUGCAUGUAUUAACAUGAAUUUCUUGUUAAUGGAGAAGACAAGCAUUAUCCAUAAAUGAAUUCUGAACAGGAGGCCUUCUAUUGCUGACACUAAUAACUAUAAUCUCCCUCUGUUUUGAUGGCCUCUGGAAUAAUACAGUUCAUUACAGAGCAACGCAAGACUAAUUUUUUUUAAGUACUUGAUAUAGCAUUUACAUUGUCUUUUAAUAUUGCCAUCAUUAUCUCUGUCAUUUGAAAUUCAGAUGUGGGAAGGCUUUUUUUUUUACUCCUAAACAAGCUAUGCUGUGGAGAUGGCAUAGACACUCUGUGCUCAAUGUAUAAUGUACCUUUAG
Gallus gallus (chicken) is the source of this 2332-nucleotide long non-coding RNA. The record is from Ensembl. NCBI's taxonomy places the organism in Eukaryota, Metazoa, Chordata, Aves, Galliformes, Phasianidae.